Molecule: transfer RNA, 85 nt
Filed under: Luteitalea sp.
Lineage: Bacteria; Pseudomonadati; Acidobacteriota; Vicinamibacteria; Vicinamibacterales; Vicinamibacteraceae
Description: tRNA-Val
Source: RNAcentral
GUCGUCGAACGGGCUGGAGUGGAAAACACUGCUCGACCCCGACAUGGUCAACGAGUCCCCGGUUCAAAUCCGGGCGGCGCCUCCA